GCAUAUCAAUAAGCGGAGGAAAAGAAAAUACAAUGAUUUCCCCAGUAACUGCGAGUGAAGAGGGACAAGCUCAAAUUUUAAAUCUGUCGGGUUCUACCUGACCGAGUUGCAAUUUGAAGAGGCGUUUUCUGUGUUUCUGAUCAGUCUAAGUCCUUUGGGAUAAGGCAUCACGGAGGGUGAGAAUCCCGUUCGGUUGAUCAGAUUCGCUUUACGAUACGCUUUCAAAGAGUCAAGUUGUUUGGGAUUGCAGCUUAAAAUGGGAGGUAAAUUUCUCCUAAGGCUAAAUAACGGCGAGAGACCGAUAGCGAACAAGUACCGUGAGGGAAAGAUGAAAAGAACUUUGAAAAGAGAGUUAAAUAGUACGUGAAAUUGUUGAAAGGGAAACGAUUGAAGCCAGUCGUACCUGCGGGUAAUCAGCCUUUUGGGCAUGAUUCUGUGGAGCGUGAGGAGUUAAACGCCUUCAUGCCUGCAUAUUCGUGUACUUUGGGUGUACUUGCCUGUGUGGUUAGUUAACAUCAAUUUUGGUUAUCAUAAAAUGGUUGGAGGAAUGUAGCUUCGAUUUCGAUUGAAGUGUUAUAGCCUUCGGCAGAUGUGAUGAUCGGGAUUGAGGAUUGCAACGGAUACCCUUCGGGGCUACCUGUCUGGUCUCUGAUCGUUGCUCUGGUGCCGAAAGCGUGCUUACGGUUAUCAAAGUCGAUGGUCAAUAGGUUAGAACGGGUUAAAUUCGUUAAGGAUGUUGACGUA
RNAcentral lists this ribosomal RNA (744 nucleotides) under uncultured fungus. RNAcentral describes it as "eukaryotic LSU rRNA". It matches the Rfam family "Eukaryotic large subunit ribosomal RNA", at positions 38 to 633 of the family's 3401-position model. The record is from RNAcentral. Lineage: Eukaryota; Fungi.